Molecule: long non-coding RNA, 350 nt
Filed under: Hordeum vulgare
Lineage: Eukaryota; Viridiplantae; Streptophyta; Magnoliopsida; Poales; Poaceae
Description: long non-coding RNA (HVUL_LNC016546)
Source: RNAcentral
AAUUCUUUAAAAAAACUUAUAUUUAGAAACAUAGAAAGUAUAAAAAUAAUAUCUAUGAUGUCUUUAUUUCAUGGGACAUAAUCUAAGAUGUCUAGAAUGUAGCUUCAAGAAUAAAGCGGUGACACGGGAGGGACACUUUGGCUCCGGGAUCAAAAUGCUCUCUAUAUCUUGGACAUUCAGUUGUACAUGAGAUCUAAGUCAGAUAUAACUUUUUAAAUGAAUAUUGUUGGUUGGAAAAUCUGUUACAUGGGCAGAUAGUAUGCAUAGGUAACUUACCGAAGAAAGAGCAUGCGACGGAUACACCAGUCGAUUGGGUGGAAAGGGGGUGUGUUUGAUGGCCCGCUAACGUU